UCCGUAAAUCUCAAGUAAAACCUACAUAAAAAAUGUCCGCUCCGAGAUUGAAAAACUUAUCUGUUACAAAACUUGUGCUGAAAAAUGUACAUUUUAAGAAAAUAAUCCUUAAACGUGUUUUAAAGUUACACCGGAUCAAUUAAAUCCAAAUCAUGCACUGCUGGUGAACUGUGAACAAAAUGUCAAUUUCCUACAAUGACAAAAGAAAUUACAUUGUGUACAUUCCAUCUCUAUAGAUGUUGUCUGUUUAACGUCCCCACCUAAAAAGAAAUAAAAAGACUAAGUUUUUGUUAAUAUAAACCCACGUCACGUGGUGUCUCCUCAAUCUGGCGCGCGCGCUGUACCUAAAAUAAAAUAAAAACUUUCCAAACUAAACAUGAAACUUCUCCGGUAACACAAUAAUAUAGAC
This 409-nucleotide long non-coding RNA is filed under the name Mytilus galloprovincialis (Mediterranean mussel). Lineage: Eukaryota; Metazoa; Mollusca; Bivalvia; Mytilida; Mytilidae. The record is from RNAcentral.